GAUGAACGCUAGCGGCAGGCCUAACACAUGCAAGUCGAGGGGCAGCACAGAAACAGCAAUGUUUUGGUGGCGACCGGCGGACGGGUGCGUAACGCGUAUGCAACCUACCUUUAACAGGGGGAUAACGGAGAGAAAUUUCCACUAAUACCCCAUAACAUCGAUCAAGGCAUCUUGAUUGGUUGAAAACUCCGGUGGUUAAAGAUGGGCAUGCGUUGUAUUAGGUAGUUGGUGAGGUAAUGGCUCACCAAGCCUACGAUACAUAGGGGGACUGAGAGGUUAGCCCCCCAAACUGGUACUGAGACACGAACCAGACUCCUACGGGAGGCAGCAGUGAGGAAUAUUGGUCAAUGGGGGCAACCCUGAACCAGCCAUGCCGCGUGCAGGAAGACGGCUCUAUGAGUUGUAAACUGCUUUUAAACAGGGAUAAAGCACAGUGUGUAUACUGUGUUGAAGGUACUGUAAGAAUAAGGAUCGGCUAACUCCGUGCCAGCCGCCGCCGUAA
RNAcentral lists this ribosomal RNA (502 nucleotides) under uncultured bacterium. RNAcentral describes it as "partial 16S ribosomal RNA". It matches the Rfam family "Bacterial small subunit ribosomal RNA", at positions 28 to 523 of the family's 1533-position model. The record is from RNAcentral.